AUGCUCCCCACGCUACUCGGCGGCUACCUCACCGUCUCCGCGCUACCGCACCCAACCGCGACAGCGACUCCGCGCGCACGCGUACUCCCUGGUCUCAGGCCCUCCUCCCGCCUCGUCGCCCGCCGAAGCGCAGGGGAAACUGUACACGCAACGGCCACAGAAGAGGAGGAGCAGGAGUGGAAGGAGCUCCAGGAGGAGGGGCUCCCGAUGCGGGGGCAGCACGCCGAGGAUGACCACGACCACGACCCCGAGAUCGCGGACAUUAUGGGGGAUUACUUCGACGACCCCAAGAAAGCCCAGUCCCGUAUGGAGGAAAGGAUAAAGAAGAAGCGGCACAAGAUCGUGCAGGCCAAGACCGGCUCGCCCAAUCCCAUGAAGGUCGUCUUCAACAAGUUUGAUUUCUCCAAUUCAUAUAUAUGGUUUGAGUUCUACAAUGCUCUAUUGCCAAAAGAUGUGAAAUUAAUUUGUGAUACUCUGCGAUCAUGGCAUAUACUUGGACGCCUUGGUGGGUGCAAUUCCAUGAAUAUGCAGCUAUCACAGUUGAGUUUAGAUUGUAAAAGACCAACUUAUGAUGCUCUUGAAGCAGCAAACACCACACCAACAUCCUUUUACAACAUUGGUGAUCUAGAGAUUCAAGAGAACCUAGCACGUGUCUGGUGUGGAUUCUUUCUCUAG
RNAcentral lists this ribosomal RNA (675 nucleotides) under Triticum aestivum (bread wheat). RNAcentral's name for it is "partial small subunit ribosomal RNA". The record is from RNAcentral. Lineage: Eukaryota; Viridiplantae; Streptophyta; Magnoliopsida; Poales; Poaceae.